AUGCGGCGGGCUCGGGCCGCGGGGCUGGCGGCGCUGGCUGUGCUGCUCAUCGUAGAUGCAGUCAGAGCCCAGGUAGAGCAGGACCCAUUCUUGGAGACCACCGAGGGCACCAGCAUCAACAUCACCUGUUCACAUCCCCAAAUCCAGAUCAGUGAUACGAUCCAGUGGUACUGCCAGCUCCCAGGACAAGCACCUGAACUCCUCGCACUCACUAUGAGAGAGACCAAAGAGCUGCCGGAUGGUGCAGGACAGCUGUUGGUGUCGGCAGAUCGGCGUUCGAGCUGGCUGUGGCUCGCUGAGCCCCGGCGCGGGGACGCGGCCGUGUAUUACUGCGCGCUGGGGGCCACGGCAAUGGACACCGGCACGGGCAAUGGGACCGGGAUCGACACCGCCAGUGGGCAUCGGCACCGACACCCGCACCGUCAUUGA
Molecule: non-coding RNA, 429 nt
Organism: Melozone crissalis (California towhee)
Lineage: Eukaryota; Metazoa; Chordata; Aves; Passeriformes; Passerellidae
Source: the annotation of a RefSeq genome assembly